GUGACACUAUAGAAUACUCAAGCUAUGCAUCCAACGCGUUGGGAGCUCUCCCAUAUGGUCGACCUGCAGGCGGCCGCGAAUUCACUAGUGAUUGGGAUCGCCCUUAGAGUUUGAUCCUGGCUCAGGAUGAACGCUGGCGGCGUGCUUAACACAUGCAAGUCGAACGGUGAACACGGAGCUUGCUCUGUGGGAUCAGUGGCGAACGGGUGAGUAACACGUGAGCAACCUGCCCCUGACUCUGGGAUAAGCGCUGGAAAUGGCGUCUAAUACUGGAUAUGUGACGUGACCGCAUGGUCUGCGUCUGGAAAGAAUUUCGGUUGGGGAUGGGCUCGCGGCCUAUCAGCUUGUUGGUGAGGUAAUGGCUCACCAAGGCGUCGACGGGUAGCCGGCCUGAGAGGGUGACCGGCCACACUGGGACUGAGACACGGCCCAGACUCCUACGGGAGGCAGCAGUGGGGAAUAUUGCACAAUGGGCGCAAGCCUGAUGCAGCAACGCCGCGUGAGGGAUGACGGCCUUCGGGUUGUAAACCUCUUUUAGCAGGGAAGAAGCGAAAGUGACGGUACCUGCAGAAAAAGCGCCGGCUAACUACGUGCCAGCAGCCGCGGUAAUACGUAGGGCGCAAGCGUUAUCCGGAAUUAUUGGGCGUAAAGAGCUCGUAGGCGGUUUGUCGCGUCUGCUGUGAAAUCCGGAGGCUCAACCUCCGGCCUGCAGUGGGUACGGGCAGACUAGAGUGCGGUAGGGGAGAUUGGAAUUCCUGGUGUAGCGGUGGAAUGCGCAGAUAUCAGGAGGAACACCGAUGGCGAAGGCAGAUCUCUGGGCCGUAACUGACGCUGAGGAGCGAAAGGGUGGGGAGCAAACAGGCUUAGAUACCCUGGUAGUCCACCCCGUAAACGUUGGGAACUAGUUGUGGGGUCCAUUCCACGGAUUCCGUGACGCAGCUAACGCAUUAAGUUCCCCGCCUGGGGAGUACGGCCGCAAGGCUAAAACUCAAAGGAAUUGACGGGGACCCGCACAAGCGGCGGAGCAUGCGGAUUAAUUCGAUGCAACGCGAAGAACCUUACCAAGGCUUGACAUAUACGAGAACGGGCCAGAAAUGGUCAACUCUUUGGACACUCGUAAACAGGUGGUGCAUGGUUGUCGUCAGCUCGUGUCGUGAGAUGUUGGGUUAAGUCCCGCAACGAGCGCAACCCUCGUUCUAUGUUGCCAGCACGUAAUGGUGGGAACUCAUGGGAUACUGCCGGGGUCAACUCGGAGGAAGGUGGGGAUGACGUCAAAUCAUCAUGCCCCUUAUGUCUUGGGCUUCACGCAUGCUACAAUGGCCGGUACAAAGGGCUGCAAUACCGCGAGGUGGAGCGAAUCCCAAAAAGCCGGUCCCAGUUCGGAUUGAGGUCUGCAACUCGACCUCAUGAAGUCGGAGUCGCUAGUAAUCGCAGAUCAGCAACGCUGCGGUGAAUACGUUCCCGGGUCUUGUACACACCGCCCGUCAAGUCAUGAAAGUCGGUAACACCUGAAGCCGGUGGCCUAACCCUUGUGGAGGGAGCCGUCGAAGGUGGGAUCGGUAAUUAGGACUAAGUCGUAACAAGGUAGCCGUAAAGGGCGAUCCAAUCGAAUUCCCGCGGCCGCCAUGGCGGCCGGGAGCAUGCGACGUCGGGCCCAAUUCGCCCUA
RNAcentral lists this ribosomal RNA (1667 nucleotides) under Microbacterium oxydans. Its description in RNAcentral is "partial 16S ribosomal RNA". It matches the Rfam family "Bacterial small subunit ribosomal RNA". The record is from RNAcentral. Lineage: Bacteria; Bacillati; Actinomycetota; Actinomycetes; Micrococcales; Microbacteriaceae.